RNAcentral lists this unclassified non-coding RNA (296 nucleotides) under Hevea brasiliensis (rubber tree). Lineage: Eukaryota; Viridiplantae; Streptophyta; Magnoliopsida; Malpighiales; Euphorbiaceae. The record is from RNAcentral.
GGGCCAAAACAAACAAAAAGGAAAAUAUGGGACUACCAGACAAAUUUGUCAUCAUCACCACGACAUUAAAUUCAAGAAGAAACAAAUUAUGGCUCAAUCUCAAGCCUAGGUUCAAAGCAAAAACCAGUAAAAAGCUGAAGCGGGAACCUCUUUGUCACUGGGCACUUCUGUGACCAUUUCCACUGUUUCUGGUUCAUGUCAAAAACAAGAAGAGCUGGAGCCCCAUAGCUCUGGAUGUAUAAAAGAUCAUCUGUGCCACUGCUGGCAAAAACAUCAUCAAACUCCCCAAAUCCUUG